RNAcentral lists this ribosomal RNA (442 nucleotides) under uncultured bacterium. RNAcentral describes it as "partial 16S ribosomal RNA". It matches the Rfam family "Bacterial small subunit ribosomal RNA", at positions 338 to 795 of the family's 1533-position model. The record is from RNAcentral.
CCUACGGGUGGCAGCAGUAGGGAAUCUUUCACAAUGGGCGAAAGCCUGAUGGAGCAACGCCGCGUGCAGGAUGAAGGCCUUCGGGUUGUAAACUGCUUUUAUAAGGGAGAAAUAUGAUGGUAACUUAUGAAUAAGGAUCGGCUAACUACGUGCCAGCAGCCGCGGUCAUACGUAGGAUCCGAGCAUUAUCCGGGGUUACUGGGGGUAAAGAGUUGCGUAGGUGGCAUAAUAAGUAGCUAGGGAAAUCUGGUGGCUCAACCAUUCAGACUAUUAGCUAAACUGUUAAGCUCGAGACCGUUAGGGGUAACUGGAAUUGCUAGUGUAGGAGUGAAAUCCGUAGAUAUUAGAAGGAACACCAAUGGCGUAGGCAGGUUGCUGGGACGGUUCUGACACUAAGGCACGAAAGCGUAGGGAGCAAACGGGAUUAGAUACCCUGGUAGUC